Molecule: ribosomal RNA, 836 nt
Filed under: uncultured bacterium
Lineage: Bacteria
Description: bacterial SSU rRNA
Rfam family: Bacterial small subunit ribosomal RNA
Source: RNAcentral
UGCAGUCGAGGGGUAUAGUAGCAAUACUAGAGACCGGCGCACGGGUGCGUAACGCGUAUGCAAUCUACCUUUUACUGAGGGAUAGCCCAGAGAAAUUUGGAUUAAUACCUCAUGGUAUAGUUGAAUGGCAUCAUUUAAUUAUUAAAGUUCCAACGGUAAAAGAUGAGCAUGCGUCCCAUUAGCUAGUUGGUGUGGUAACGGCACACCAAGGCUACGAUGGGUAGGGGUCCUGAGAGGGAGAUCCCCCACACUGGUACUGAGACACGGACCAGACUCCUACGGGAGGCAGCAGUGAGGAAUAUUGGACAAUGGGCGCAAGCCUGAUCCAGCCAUGCCGCGUGCAGGAAGAAGCAUCUAUGGUGUGUAAACUGCUUUUGUACGGGAAGAAACACCUCUACGUGUAGAGGCUUGACGGUACCGUAAGAAUAAGGAUCGGCUAACUCCGUGCCAGCAGCCGCGGUAAUACGGAGGAUCCAAGCGUUAUCCGGAAUCAUUGGGUUUAAAGGGUCCGUAGGCGGUUUAAUAAGUCAGUGGUGAAAUCUGGUCGCUCAACGAUCAAACGGCCAUUGAUACUGUUAGACUUGAAUUAUUAGGAAGUAACUAGAAUAUGUAGUGUAGCGGUGAAAUGCUUAGAUAUUACAUGGAAUACCAAUUGCGAAGGCAGGUUACUACUAAUGGAUUGACGCUGAUGGACGAAAGCGUGGGGAGCGAACAGGAUUAGAUACCCUGGUAGUCCACGCCGUANACGAUGGAUACUAGCUGUUGGGGGCAACUUCAGUGGCUAAGCGAAAGUGAUAAGUAUCCCACCUGGGGAGUACGUUCGCAAGAAUGAAACU